Molecule: long non-coding RNA, 1643 nt
Filed under: Pan troglodytes (chimpanzee)
Lineage: Eukaryota; Metazoa; Chordata; Mammalia; Primates; Hominidae
Description: long non-coding RNA NONPTRT009309
Source: RNAcentral
GUCUGGAGGCUCCGCGGCUUGGCGCCCAGAUAUGCCAGGUUCACGUUGGCCUUGCGGCCGUCGAUGAUGGGGUUCGGGUCUUUGCAAGCCCUGUCAGCUGCCGCCCGGUCGGCCAUGGUCACCUGGUGGAGCAGAGACACAUCAGGGGCUGCCGUGGGGGGAACCAGGGGCGAAAGGGGCAGACGGCUCCGCCCUGGCACCGGAUGCUGCCACCCCUCUCUUCCCUUCCUCUGAGGGUGCCUGUGACCCAGGGUCCUUGAGCCAAAGCCCCUCUGACCCCUACCUGGGGCUCUCCCACAAAGAUGCCUCCUGGAUUCCAGCUCCUCCCGUCAAAGUUCAAGGCCUGGGAAAUGUGGCCUUCAAGGACAAAAAUAAUCCCCUGCGGGGAUAGGGCAAAAAUGAACCUCGAAGGGAGCCUGGGGGGCCGCCUGGACUGCCCACCAGUGAGGGCCGAGACUUUCCUCUGAGAAGGAGUUUGCGACGCUAUGCUUGGAAGGCAACCGUCAGGUGCUAAGCAGAACCAUGCUUGGGCCUUCCACACCAGUCAAGGUACUCUCACAGCAAAGCCCCACCGAAGGGGCCCACAGGUUGGAUUCGAGGUACGUGAAGUCCCAAGAGAUGACAUGAAGCCCCAAAUGGAUGCCCUGGCUCCCCAGCACCAGAGGGAAACGCCCCCUCACCGAAGACAGUGGCAAGUGCCAUGCUUCAAGUAACACAAGGAGCAGCCUCCAGUGCACCUGUUUUAGCAGCCAGCCCUGGAGGCAGAAAGAUUUACAAGGGAGUGGAAAGGCUGGCAAACACAGGACACACGGAGAUGCCCAAAGUCAGUGGGGGUCAGGGUUCAACCUGGAAAUGCAGUCUCCUCAGCUGAGGAAGGCAGUGAGUCCUGGCCAGGAAGCCGGUCCAAGCCCCUGCCUCGUCCCCAGUUCACUUCGUGAAAGCUGAUGAAUGACCAAUGCUUGCAGAGGGGUCUGGAGUAAUGGCGGCACCGUAUUAAGGGGCGAUCAGGCUGUAUCUUGACACUGGGAUUCAUAAGAGGAGGAAGAAACCUAUCAUGCUGACGGGUAGUGAAGAAGAGAAAUGAAAGACAAAAGACACAAGAGAAGGCCAGGCGCAGUGGCUCACUCCUGUAAUCCCAGCUACCCGGGAGGCUGAGACAGGAGAAUCGCUUGAACCCGGGAGGCAGAGGGCGCACUGAGCUGAGAUCAUGCCACUGCAGUGCAGCCUGGAUGACAGGGCGAGACUCAGUCUCAGAAAGAAAAAAAAAAGACACCAGAGAGUGCUGCCGCCAGUGAGCUGACGGAAUCCGCGGUGUGGAUUCGGGCCCGUAGGAUGCUGGGGAUUGUCAGUGCCUUCUUUGAGCUUUGUCUCCUCCCAUACUGCCUCCUCUGCACCACAGUCAGGAGGGAAAAAGAAUAAAAGAUUAAGAAUGCAGGUCAGUUAUUUUUCGGGAGCCGAUUUACAUUUUAAGCAAGUAUGCAACAGGUGUUUCUCAUCGGCUUUGGAAACAGCCCUCACCUUAAAAAAUAUUUUUCAAUAGAUUGAUGCAAAAUUCACAAUAGGCUCUUAGACUGUGGUGAUGGUUUCAUGGGUGUAUGUUUAUCUCCAAACUCAUCAAGUUGUAUAAGUUAAAUAUGUACAGC